This 253-nucleotide ribosomal RNA is filed under the name uncultured bacterium. RNAcentral's name for it is "partial 16S ribosomal RNA". It matches the Rfam family "Bacterial small subunit ribosomal RNA", at positions 524 to 776 of the family's 1533-position model. The record is from RNAcentral.
UACGUAGGGGGCUAGCGUUGUCCGGAUUUAUUGGGCGUAAAGAGCGUGUAGGCGGCCAGGUAGGUCUGCUGUGAAAACUCGAGGCUCAACCUCGAGACGUCGGCGGAAACCAUCUGGCUAGAGCCCGGAAGAGGAGAGUGGAAUUCCUGGUGUAGCGGUGAAAUGCGCAGAUAUCAGGAAGAACACCCGUGGCGAAGGCGGCUCUCUGGGACGGUACUGACGCUGAGACGCGAAAGCGUGGGGAGCGAACAGG